RNAcentral lists this transfer RNA (73 nucleotides) under Riverina rivularis. Its description in RNAcentral is "Hildenbrandia rivularis tRNA-Arg". It matches the Rfam family "tRNA". Rfam says of the family: Transfer RNA (tRNA) molecules are approximately 80 nucleotides in length. Their secondary structure includes four short double-helical elements and three loops (D, anti-codon, and T loops). Lineage: Eukaryota; Rhodophyta; Florideophyceae; Hildenbrandiales; Hildenbrandiaceae. The record is from RNAcentral.
AGGUGUGUAGCUUAGUGGAUAAAGCAUUAGGUUCCGAUCCUAAGUAACGAGGGUUCAACUCCCUCCAUACCUU